This 362-nucleotide ribosomal RNA is filed under the name uncultured bacterium. Its description in RNAcentral is "bacterial SSU rRNA". It matches the Rfam family "Bacterial small subunit ribosomal RNA", at positions 29 to 416 of the family's 1533-position model. The record is from RNAcentral.
AACGAACGCUGGCGGCAUGCCUAACACAUGCAAGUCGAACGAGACCUUCGGGUCUAGUGGCGCACGGGUGCGUAACGCGUGGGAAUCUGCCCCUUGGUUCGGAAUAACAGCGAGAAAUUGCUGCUAAUACCGGAUAAUGACGUAAGUCCAAAGAUUUAUCGCCAAGGGAUGAGCCCGCGUAGGAUUAGCUAGUUGGUGUGGUAAAGGCGCACCAAGGCGACGAUCCUUAGCUGGUCUGAGAGGAUGAUCAGCCACACUGGGACUGAGACACGGCCCAGACUCCUACGGGAGGCAGCAGUGGGGGAAUUUUUGGACAAUGGGCGCAAGCCUGAUCCAGCAAUGCCGCGUGCAGGAUGAAGGCC